GAAGACGGCCAUAGUAACGAGGAAACGCCUGUUCCCAUUCCGAACACAGAUAGCUAAGCUCGUUACGUCUGCUGCGUUAGUCUCCCACAAGAGGCGAAGCACAGAUGCUGUCCUCA
Molecule: ribosomal RNA, 116 nt
Filed under: Nanobdellota archaeon
Lineage: Archaea; Nanobdellati; Nanobdellota
Source: RNAcentral